CGAGUGAAGCGGCAACAGCUCAAAUUUGAAAUCUGGUCCUUUCAGGUCCCGAGUUGUAAUUUGUAGAAGAUGCUUCGAGCGUGGCUCCGGUCUAAGUCCCUUGGAACAGGGCGUCAUAGAGGGUGAGAAUCCCGUAUGUGACUGGCUGCCUUCGCUUAUCGUGAAGCUCUUUCGACGAGUCGAGUUGUUUGGGAAUGCAGCUCAAAAUGGGUGGUAAAUUUCAUCUAAAGCUAAAUAUUGGCCAGAGACCGAUAGCGCACAAGUAGAGUGAUCGAAAGAUGAAAAGCACUUUGGAAAGAGAGUUAAACAGUACGUGAAAUUGUUGAAAGGGAAGCGCUUGCAAUCAGACUUGCGCGCCGUUGAUCAUCCUCGGUUCUCCGGGGUGCACUCGGCGGCGCUCAGGCCAGCAUCGGUUUCGGUGGUCGGAUAAAGGCCUUGGGAAUGUGGCUCCUUUCGGGGAGUGUUAUAGCCCUCGGUGCAAUGCGGCCUACCGGGACCGAGG
RNAcentral lists this ribosomal RNA (502 nucleotides) under Chalara sp. Its description in RNAcentral is "partial large subunit ribosomal RNA". It matches the Rfam family "Eukaryotic large subunit ribosomal RNA", at positions 90 to 594 of the family's 3401-position model. Lineage: Eukaryota; Fungi; Ascomycota; Leotiomycetes; Helotiales. The record is from RNAcentral.